CCGAAAUUUUAAAACUCACAAACGCGAGUCUCGUGCGGAAGCAAAUAUGACUGCCGAGACUUUGUGACUCUUCAAGUCUUCCUUUGCUCAAGUCAAACCACACUCGUGAAGCACAUGUGACGAGUCUGUGGUGAGCAUCGGGAGCACUGCGUUUCCUUCGGGAUUCACAGUCUAAAAAAACGAAUUGUAGAAGUAAUAUAUCAAACGAAUUGUAAAAGUAAAUAUAUAAAACAAAAAAAAGACGAAAAAAAAAU
RNAcentral lists this unclassified non-coding RNA (254 nucleotides) under soil metagenome. RNAcentral describes it as "partial internal transcribed spacer 1". The record is from RNAcentral.